UUUUUUUUUUUUUGGGGGUAAAUAAAAAGUAAGAAAGAUUGUGUUGUUUCAAUCGCAUAAAGCUAAAACGGUUGCCUUGGAACCCAUAGUUUGUUAAUAUAUAAUAUAUAGAGAGAGAAAAAUGAAGAAGGAAAGCAAUCGAAAUGUAGAGAGAGAGAAAGGUAGGACACAGGAGUUCCUACUUGGCUGCUAGUCUCUCGUUUGGGCACGGCCGCCACGUUGA
This 223-nucleotide unclassified non-coding RNA is filed under the name Hevea brasiliensis (rubber tree). Lineage: Eukaryota; Viridiplantae; Streptophyta; Magnoliopsida; Malpighiales; Euphorbiaceae. The record is from RNAcentral.